AGACCGAUAGCGAACAAGUAGAGUGAUCGAAAGAUGAAAAGCACUUUGAAAAGAGAGUUAAAAAGUACGUGAAAUUGUUGAAAGGGAAGCGCUCAUGACCAGACUUGGGCUUGGUUGAUCAUCCAGGGUUCUCCCUGGUGCACUCUUCCAGCCCAGGCCAGCAUCAGUUCGCUGUGGGGGAUAAAGGCUUUGGGAAUGUGGCUCCUCCGGGAGUGUUAUAGCCCAUUGUGUAAUACCCUGUGGUGGACUGAGGUUCGCGCAUCUGCAAGGAUGCUGGCGUAAUGGUCAUCAGCGACCCGUCUUGAAACACGGACCAAG
This 318-nucleotide ribosomal RNA is filed under the name Nectriaceae sp. PPE15-2. RNAcentral's name for it is "eukaryotic LSU rRNA". It matches the Rfam family "Eukaryotic large subunit ribosomal RNA", at positions 331 to 670 of the family's 3401-position model. Lineage: Eukaryota; Fungi; Ascomycota; Sordariomycetes; Hypocreales; Nectriaceae. The record is from RNAcentral.